UACAGAGGGUGCGAGCGUUGUCCGGAAUCACUGGGCGUAAAGGGCGCGUAGGCGGUCUGGUAAGCGUGUGGUGAAAGCCCGGGGCUCAACCCCGGGUCGGCCGUGGCAACUGCUGGGCUGGAGCACAGUAGAGGCGGGUGGAAUUCCGGGUGUAGCGGUGGAAUGCGUAGAGAUCCGGAAGAACACCGGUGGCGAAGGCGGCGACCUGGACAGGUACUGACACUCAACUACGAAAGCGUGGGGAGCAAACAGG
RNAcentral lists this ribosomal RNA (253 nucleotides) under uncultured bacterium. RNAcentral's name for it is "partial 16S ribosomal RNA". It matches the Rfam family "Bacterial small subunit ribosomal RNA", at positions 524 to 776 of the family's 1533-position model. The record is from RNAcentral.